AUAUAGCUCAGUUGGUAGAGUACUUGCCUCACAUGCACAAGGCCCUGGGUUCAAUCCCCAGGGGAAAAUAUA
RNAcentral lists this transfer RNA (72 nucleotides) under Marmota monax (woodchuck). RNAcentral describes it as "tRNA.Val". The stretch from base 4 to 61 matches the Rfam family "tRNA", at positions 8 to 63 of the family's 71-position model. Rfam says of the family: Transfer RNA (tRNA) molecules are approximately 80 nucleotides in length. Their secondary structure includes four short double-helical elements and three loops (D, anti-codon, and T loops). The record is from RNAcentral. Lineage: Eukaryota; Metazoa; Chordata; Mammalia; Rodentia; Sciuridae.